Long non-coding RNA from Meriones unguiculatus (Mongolian gerbil), 746 nucleotides. RefSeq lists it as uncharacterized. The transcript has 3 exons. The record is from RefSeq and is a predicted model, not a curated record. Lineage: Eukaryota; Metazoa; Chordata; Mammalia; Rodentia; Muridae.
AUUCAGAUCCAGAGGAAUGAGGUGUGGCUACUGUAAAACAGAGGGUAGACUGAACUGUGAGUAGCAGAAUGGAAUCACUGCUGGAGAGGAAAAUACUGUCUGUAAGUGGCUCUUACAAAUUCAUCCUUUUCACAUUCAUAAGCUUGAUAAAGAGCCUUACAAGAUAAACGUGGAUUUAAUAGAUUUUUCAGGAAGGGAUGUUGAGGGUGGCUGAUCAAGGUGAGACCUACUGUUCUUCCUGGAAGAUGGAACCGCUGCCCUCCAGAGGGAUUCGGCUCUGGUUGGAACAAUGCAGGAUUUUUAGCUCUUUACACCUAGCCUGCAGUUACCAUGGGGUCCAGCAAUUCCACUCAGCCCGAACUUUAAUAGAUGUUUGUGUUCACAGGAGCACCACACCGAGCUGAAAGCUCAACAAACAAAAGCCGUACAGAUAGAAGGCAACCAAUUAAUGUGAGCCUGGCUCUCUGAAGAUCCUCGGGAGAGGUCUUCCUGAACAGAACACCAACAGCACAGGCUCUAAGAGCAACAAUCAAUAAAUGGGACCUCAUGAAAUUGAAAAGCUUCUGUAAAGCAAAGGACACCGUCAUCAAAACAAAGCGACUGCCUACAGAUUGGGAAAGAAUCAUCACCAACCCUUUAUCUGACAAAGGGCUAAUAUCCAGUAUAUAUAAAGAACUAAAGAAGCUGAAAAGCAGCAAACCAAGUAAUCCACUUAAAAAAUGGGGAACAGAACUAAACAGAGAAUU